CCUACGGGUGGCAGCAGUGGGGGAUAUUGCACAAUGGGGGAAACCCUGAUGCAGCGACGCCGCGUGUGGGAAGACGGUCUUCUGGAUUGUAAACCACUGUCCCCAGGGACGAAAAUGACGGUACCUGGGGAGGAAGCUCCGGCUAACUACGUGCCAGCAGCCGCGGUAAUACGUAGGGAGCAAGCGUUGUCCGGAAUUACUGGGUGUAAAGGGAGCGUAGGCGGGGAUGCAAGUUGGGUGUAAAAACUACCGGCUCAACCGAUAGUCGCACUCAAAACUGCAGCGCUUGAGUGAAGUAGAGGCAGGCGGAAUUCCUAGUGUAGCGGUGAAAUGCGUAGAUAUUAGGAGGAACACCAGUGGCGAAGGCGGCCUGCUGGGCUUUUACUGACGCUGAGGCUCGAAAGUGUGGGGAGCAAACAGGAUUAGAUACCCGUGUAGUC
RNAcentral lists this ribosomal RNA (440 nucleotides) under uncultured bacterium. Its description in RNAcentral is "partial 16S ribosomal RNA". It matches the Rfam family "Bacterial small subunit ribosomal RNA", at positions 338 to 795 of the family's 1533-position model. The record is from RNAcentral.